RNAcentral lists this ribosomal RNA (282 nucleotides) under uncultured bacterium. RNAcentral's name for it is "partial 16S ribosomal RNA". It matches the Rfam family "Bacterial small subunit ribosomal RNA", at positions 773 to 1060 of the family's 1533-position model. The record is from RNAcentral.
GUGGAUUAGAUACCCUGGUAGUCCACGCCGUAAACGAUGGAUACUAGCUGUUUGGUUUUCGGACUGAGUGGCUAAGCGAAAGUGAUAAGUAUCCCACCUGGGGAGUACGGGCGCAAGCCUGAAACUCAAAGGAAUUGACGGGGGCCCGCACAAGCGGUGGAGCAUGUGGUUUAAUUCGAUGAUACGCGAGGAACCUUACCAGGGCUUAAAUGUAGAUUGACAGGUUUGGAAACAGAUUUUUCUUCGGACAAUUUACAAGGUGCUGCAUGGUUGUCGUCAACU